Molecule: ribosomal RNA, 464 nt
Filed under: uncultured Klebsiella sp.
Lineage: Bacteria; Pseudomonadati; Pseudomonadota; Gammaproteobacteria; Enterobacterales; Enterobacteriaceae
Description: bacterial SSU rRNA
Rfam family: Bacterial small subunit ribosomal RNA
Source: RNAcentral
CCUACGGGGGGCUGCAGUGGGGAAUAUUGCACAAUGGGCGCAAGCCUGAUGCAGCCAUGCCGCGUGUGUGAAGAAGGCCUUCGGGUUGUAAAGCACUUUCAGCGGGGAGGAAGGCGUUAAGGUUAAUAACCUUGUCGAUUGACGUUACCCGCAGAAGAAGCACCGGCUAACUCCGUGCCAGCAGCCGCGGUAAUACGGAGGGUGCAAGCGUUAAUCGGAAUUACUGGGCGUAAAGCGCACGCAGGCGGUCUGUCAAGUCGGAUGUGAAAUCCCCGGGCUCAACCUGGGAACGGCAUUCGAACCCGGCAGGCUAGAGUCUGGUAGAGGGGGGGAGAAUUCCAGGUGUAGGGGUGAAAUGCGUAGAGAGCUGGAGGAAUACCGGUGGCGAAGGCGGCCCCCUGGACAAAGACUGACGCUCAGGUGCGAAAGCGUGGGGAGCAAACAGGAUUAGAUACCCGGUAGUC